AUUUAUAGCCAUAUCACUCUGAAUGCACCCAAUCUUGUCUGCUCUUGGAAGGUAAAUGAAUUUCAGUCUUUGAAUUUGAUCAUUGUUCUACAUC
RNAcentral lists this ribosomal RNA (94 nucleotides) under Saimiri boliviensis boliviensis (Bolivian squirrel monkey). Lineage: Eukaryota; Metazoa; Chordata; Mammalia; Primates; Cebidae. The record is from RNAcentral.